CAACAAUAUGCAUGUGUCACUUGGUGGACCAACCUGGGCUGCACAAAUUUUGGAUACCGAGUUCCACAAUGUCAUCCAUUCUAAGAAAAUUGAAAAUACUUGAAGUUAGCAUUUAAAUUAAAGUAAUCCAAUGCGACUUCUUUCACUUGAGCAAAGAAUGGGGAAUAUGAGGAUGGAAAGUAUCGACGAGUUAUGAGAAGAAUAACGGGACCUCUGGAUAACUCAUCAACCUACAUAACGUUUAUAUUAAAUAAUCAUAUAGUUGAUGUAGAAGCAGCACUAUUUAAAUAAAUAUCCUUACAAGAUCCAUCGGCCCCAGAGCAACCGCUCUGUUGGCAAAACCAGUCCUGGAAUUGGUAAUUAUUUAGUAAAUGAAAUUAGUGCAAAUAAAAAUGAAAUAAAUUACCGUAUAUGAUAAGCCCAA
Long non-coding RNA from Folsomia candida, 424 nucleotides. RefSeq lists it as uncharacterized. The record is from RefSeq and is a predicted model, not a curated record. The transcript is spliced from 2 exons. Lineage: Eukaryota; Metazoa; Arthropoda; Collembola; Entomobryomorpha; Isotomidae.